This 486-nucleotide ribosomal RNA is filed under the name uncultured bacterium. RNAcentral describes it as "partial 16S ribosomal RNA". It matches the Rfam family "Bacterial small subunit ribosomal RNA", at positions 28 to 507 of the family's 1533-position model. The record is from RNAcentral.
GACGAACGCUGGCGGCGUGCUUAACACAUGCAAGUCGAACGCUGAAGACCUGGCUUUUGUUGGGUUGGAUGAGUGGCGAACGGGUGAGUAACACGUGAGUAACCUGCCCUCUUCUUUGGGAUAACGCCCGGAAACGGGUGCUAAUACUGGAUAUUCACUGAUCUUCGCAUGGGGGUUGGUGGAAAGGUUUGUUCUGGUGGGGGAUGGGCUCGCGGCCUAUCAGCUUGUUGGUGGGGUGAUGGCCUACCAAGGCUUUGACGGGUAGCCGGCCUGAGAGGGUGACCGGUCACAUUGGGACUGGGAUACGGGCCAGACUCCUACGGGAGGCAGCAGUGGGGAAUAUUGCACAAUGGGCGAAAGCCUGAUGCAGCGACGCCGCGUGAGGGAUGGAGGCCUUCGGGUUGUAAACCUCUUUCGCUCAUGGUCAAGCCGCAACUGUGGGUUGUGGUGAGGGUAGUGGGUAAAGAAGCGCCGGCUAACUACGUG